RNAcentral lists this ribosomal RNA (1433 nucleotides) under uncultured bacterium. RNAcentral's name for it is "bacterial SSU rRNA". It matches the Rfam family "Bacterial small subunit ribosomal RNA". The record is from RNAcentral.
UAGAGUUUGAUCCUGGCUCAGGGCGAACGCUGGCGGCGUGCCUAAUACAUGCAAGUCGAGCGAGCUUGCCUAGAUGAUUUUAGUGCUUGCACUAAAUGAAACUAGAUACAAGCGAGCGGCGGACGGGUGAGUAACACGUGGGUAACCUGCCCAAGAGACUGGGAUAACACCUGGAAACAGAUGCUAAUACCGGAUAACAACACUAGACGCAUGUCUAGAGUUUGAAAGAUGGUUCUGCUAUCACUCUUGGAUGGACCUGCGGUGCAUUAGCUAGUUGGUAAGGUAACGGCUUACCAAGGCAAUGAUGCAUAGCCGAGUUGAGAGACUGAUCGGCCACAUUGGGACUGAGACACGGCCCAAACUCCUACGGGAGGCAGCAGUAGGGAAUCUUCCACAAUGGACGAAAGUCUGAUGGAGCAACGCCGCGUGAGUGAAGAAGGGUUUCGGCUCGUAAAGCUCUGUUGGUAGUGAAGAAAGAUAGAGGUAGUAACUGGCCUUUAUUUGACGGUAAUUACUUAGAAAGUCACGGCUAACUACGUGCCAGCAGCCGCGGUAAUACGUAGGUGGCAAGCGUUGUCCGGAUUUAUUGGGCGUAAAGCGAGUGCAGGCGGUUCAAUAAGUCUGAUGUGAAAGCCUUCGGCUCAACCGGAGAAUUGCAUCAGAAACUGUUGAACUUGAGUGCAGAAGAGGAGAGUGGAACUCCAUGUGUAGCGGUGGAAUGCGUAGAUAUAUGGAAGAACACCAGUGGCGAAGGCGGCUCUCUGGUCUGCAACUGACGCUGAGGCUCGAAAGCAUGGGUAGCGAACAGGAUUAUAUACCCUGGUAGUCCAUGCCGUAAACGAUGAGUGCUAAGUGUUGGGAGGUUUCCGCCUCUCAGUGCUGCAGCUAACGCAUUAAGCACUCCGCCUGGGGAGUACGACCGCAAGGUUGAAACUCAAAGGAAUUGACGGGGGCCCGCACAAGCGGUGGAGCAUGUGGUUUAAUUCGAAGCAACGCGAAGAACCUUACCAGGCCUUGACAUCCCCCUGAAUGGGUGGUAAUGCAUCCAGCCCUUCGGGGCAGGGGAGACAGGUGGUGCAUGGUUGUCGUCAGCUCGUGUCGUGAGAUGUUGGGUUAAGUCCCGCAACGAGCGCAACCCCUAUCCUUAGUAGCCAGCGAGCAAGACGGGCACUCUAGGGAGACUGCCGGGGAUAACCCGGAGGAAGGUGGUGAUGACGUCAAAUCAUCAUGCCCCUUAUGGCCUGGGCUACACACGUGCUACAAUGGCGUAAACAAAGGGAAGCGAAGGCGUGAGCGUAAGCAAAACCCAAAAAUAACGUCCCAGUUCGGAUUGUAGUCUGCAACCCGACUACAUGAAGCUGGAAUCGCUAGUAAUCGCGGAUCAGAAUGCCGCGGUGAAUACGUUACCAGGGUCUUGCACUCACCGCCCGUCA